This 661-nucleotide long non-coding RNA is filed under the name Pogona vitticeps (central bearded dragon). RNAcentral's name for it is "lncRNA (ENSPVIG00000006400.1)". Lineage: Eukaryota; Metazoa; Chordata; Lepidosauria; Squamata; Agamidae. The record is from RNAcentral.
AACUGGCCUCAGCAACAAGGGGUUUUCAGUUGUGCAUCCUGCUCUGACUGCCUUGCUGUUCUUGAUCUCUGGAGUCCCUGUGUUCCAGCACCUGCUCCUGUUCCUGCCUUGGUUCCUCCUGGCUUCUGCUGUUCUCCUGCAUCUUGGUGCCUUAUUCCAGCUCUGUGCUCCUGUGACCUGACUCCCAGCCUGGUGCUCCUGCCUCUGCCCAGACUUUUUCAGUGUGAUUGGUCUGUGGAGCUGGGAGGCUCCUUGGGAUUCCCUAACACAUUCGGCGGAGAGAAGGUGGGGGAGAUGACUUGGCUCCAGUCGGAUCCUGCAGCCUCUCCCGGCCAAGGAAGAAAAUCUAUUUGCUGGAAAGGCACGUUGCGUUUGGCAAAUGCAAGACAACAGGAAGCUGAAGGAAAAGAAAGGAAGCGAAGGACAGAUGUGGAUGUGAUUCUUCCUGAAGGAAGCAAAACUGACAAAGGGCACGUCUAGGAGUGUAACCCUUUGCCUAACAGCCUCCGGGGACCCCCUGGAUUCUUGUCCUUGGGAAAGGGCAAAGGGAGAAGCCCCAGCCAGGAACCGGGUGUGAGCAAGAUGGCUAGGGCAGCCCUCCAGGCCAGGAGAACCCCUGUUUGCUGGUGCGGGUGAUUCUUGUCCAUUUUAUAAGGUAGAU